AGCCUCUGGAGUAGCUGAGAGUACAGGCACAUGCUGGUAUGCCUGGCUAAUCUUUGUAAAUUUUUUUUUUUUUUGGCUAAUCUUUGUAAAUUUUUUUUUUUUUUUUUUUUUUUUUUUUUUUUGGAGAGAGGGGGUUUUGCCAUGUUGCUCAGGCUGGUCUCAAACUCCUGGGCUCAAGCAACUCUCCCACCUCAGCCUCCCAAAGUGCUGGCAUUACAGGCAUGAGCCACCGCACCCAACCGUCAUGUAUUAUUCUUGAAUCUAAAAGGAAAAAAGAAUAUGUAUUUUUGUAGUGAUUGCUGGAGCCCUCUUUCCUAGGUUGGCUGUGGUCAGUUUGUAGCAGUCCUAAUGUUAAUGGAGUCUAGCCAUUCUGAUCUGGCCUUCCAGGUCAUUAGGAGGCUCUGCCAUCACGUGAAGAG
This 419-nucleotide long non-coding RNA is filed under the name Pongo abelii (Sumatran orangutan). RNAcentral describes it as "lincRNA". The record is from RNAcentral. Lineage: Eukaryota; Metazoa; Chordata; Mammalia; Primates; Hominidae.